UGGGGGAAUAUUGGACAAUGGGCGCAAGCCUGAUCCAGCAAUGCCGCGUGUGUGAAGAAGGCCUUCGGGUUGUAAAGCACUUUUAUCAGGAGCAAACGCUGUCGGCUAAUACCCGGCGGAACUGACGGUACCUGAGGAAUAAGCACCGGCUAACUUCGUGCCAGCAGCCGCGGUAAUUACGAAGGGUGCAAGCGUUAAUCGGAAUUACUGGGCGUAAAGCGUGCGUAGGCGGUUUCUUAAGUCUGCUGUGAAAUCCCCGGGCUCAACCUGGGAAUGGCAGUGGAUACUGGGAGGCUAGAGUGUGUCAGAGGGUGGUGGAAUUCCCGUGUAGCGGUGAAAUGCGUAGAGAUCGGGAGGAAC
Molecule: ribosomal RNA, 360 nt
Filed under: uncultured bacterium
Lineage: Bacteria
Description: partial 16S ribosomal RNA
Rfam family: Bacterial small subunit ribosomal RNA
Source: RNAcentral